UACGUAGGUGGCGAGCGUUGUCCGGAUUUACUGGGCGUAAAGGGCGUGCAGGCGGUUUGUUAAGUGCAGAGUGAAAGCUCCCGGCUCAACUGGGAGAGGUCUUUGCAUACUGGCAAACUCGAGGGAGGCAGAGGAAAGUGGAAUUCCCGGUGUAGUGGUGAUAUGCGUAGAUAUCUGGAGGAACACCGGUGGCGAAGGCGGCAUCCUGGACCAAUUCUGACGCUGAGGAGCGAAAGCCAGGGGAGCAAACGGG
Molecule: ribosomal RNA, 253 nt
Filed under: uncultured bacterium
Lineage: Bacteria
Description: partial 16S ribosomal RNA
Rfam family: Bacterial small subunit ribosomal RNA
Source: RNAcentral